Molecule: non-coding RNA, 29 nt
Filed under: Mus musculus (house mouse)
Lineage: Eukaryota; Metazoa; Chordata; Mammalia; Rodentia; Muridae
Source: RNAcentral
UGAUAAUGCCAAGCAUGUAUGUAGGGGCU